GCGGGAAUGCCGGAGCGGUCAAACGGGCGUGACUAAGGAUCACGUGGCUUAGUGUCUGCAGGGGUUCGAAUCCUCUUUCCCGCA
This 84-nucleotide transfer RNA is filed under the name uncultured archaeon. Its description in RNAcentral is "tRNA-Leu(aag)". It matches the Rfam family "tRNA". Rfam says of the family: Transfer RNA (tRNA) molecules are approximately 80 nucleotides in length. Their secondary structure includes four short double-helical elements and three loops (D, anti-codon, and T loops). The record is from RNAcentral.